This is a non-coding RNA of Pimephales promelas (fathead minnow), 444 nucleotides long. The record is from RefSeq and is a predicted model, not a curated record. NCBI's taxonomy places the organism in Eukaryota, Metazoa, Chordata, Actinopteri, Cypriniformes, Leuciscidae.
UUGUUAAAUGUUAUAAUUCUAGAUGUUUAUUUAAAUGCUGCGUGCCUUUUGACGUGUUCUAUGGUUUCAAUAUGGGCGUACGUGCGCGAGUCGCAUUCAAAUCUGAUUCAAAGACAGGAGCGCGCGCGAGCAGAUGGAAACCAUGGAAACGAGGAAACCCAUCAACUGACAAACAGCAAACUAGCGUCUCUCACUGUUGUUUUCUCUGCUUUCAGAUCAUCAUAGAUGUCCUGCUGCACCCCCUGGGGUCCAAGACAAUCUCCACGGCUAUGACCUCGACUAUAGGGGUUAUGGCUGUGCUCUUGUUACCAGAUGAGAUAUCAUUUGAUCCUGUGAUUCUUCAGGACAAGAUCUUGAUGCCAUCCACACCCAGUACAUGACGAAGGUUUUCUGGGAUCCACAGUGGAAGGCAUCAAGGCGUGAGAUGUUGGCUGGACAGAUGUA